Molecule: unclassified non-coding RNA, 156 nt
Filed under: plant metagenome
Description: partial contains small subunit ribosomal RNA and internal transcribed spacer 1
Rfam family: Eukaryotic small subunit ribosomal RNA (bases 1-52)
Source: RNAcentral
GGAAGUAAAACGUAACAAGGUUUCCGUAGGUGAACCUGCGGAAGGAUCAAUAGUGGAGGGGGUGAGUUUUGUGAAGAGGUGAGCGAAAGCGCACUUGAUUAUACUGAGUAUUCUACGACUAUUACACGAUUGCAGACAAGGGAUCUCUAGGCUCCC